Molecule: long non-coding RNA, 669 nt
Organism: Mauremys mutica (yellowpond turtle)
Lineage: Eukaryota; Metazoa; Chordata; Testudines; Geoemydidae
Exons: 3
Source: RefSeq, a predicted model, not a curated record
UUGCAAACAGAUGGAAAGCCCUUGAAAAGUCUAUUCCUCGCGGAAGGGAACUAAUAUACAGUGUCUCCUUCAGGCUGGCGCUCAGGCCGCCUGGUGCAGGGGGCUGUUUACUCGCCGUGGAGAGGCCUCAGGGCUCCCACUGCCUUUCCUGUCUGAGGAUUUCUGUGCUGUAGCCAGCGCUGCACAAAAUCAGGUCUGCGGCUGAAAAAAAAUCUGCUCCAGCAGACGAGGCAUGUCACUGCCGUGUGGGAGGAGAGAGAGAGAGAACAUGGCUGUGUCCACACGGAGGAUAUUUCCAAAAUUACCCCACUCAGACCUCCUUUUACCACGGGGGUUAACAGCAGCAUGAAGCCACAGAGCAUUCACCAGGAAUGGAGUGUGGUCUGCAGCUCAAAGCCCUGCACCGGCUUGGCUCCCACUGAGAUGUGAAGGUGCCCGGGUCAGCACCAGAGGAUGGGCAGCCUCUCAGCUCUGCUAUCCAUAUUCAUGUAGCUGGAGUGGGAGCUCUGGGUGAGGGCAGGGGGACAGAUGGGGGCGCAGACCAGGAGAGAGCAGCUGAACCUGGGAGCAGAGAGCAAUCAGCCAGACUUUGUAGGUCUCUGGCCCUUGCAAAUGCCUGAUCAUCCCCCUUCAUUGGGUGGCAGCACUGCCUAUGGGGACCCAAGGGAG